This is a long non-coding RNA of Symphalangus syndactylus (siamang), 11909 nucleotides long. RefSeq lists it as uncharacterized. Lineage: Eukaryota; Metazoa; Chordata; Mammalia; Primates; Hylobatidae. The record is from RefSeq and is a predicted model, not a curated record.
AAAAAUGGGAGUUCCCUGCACAAGCUCUCUUUGCCUGCUGCCAUCCACGUACGAUGUGACUGCCAUGUGGAACUUUAUCUUCACUAGAUCAAUAAACUCCCAGUGCCUGGAAUGAGAUCUGCGACAUAGCUGACAUCCAAAGCCCUUCUAGGAGGGGGAGAAGCCUAGGGAUAUGGGGACAUCACAAAGAGCCAGAAGUGGCACCAACAGAAAGGCUGUGAGCAGGAACUGGAUGGUGACAGAUGAUGAUCACCCUUCCUUGCAUCACUGCGUGCCAGGCAACUCAUCCCUUAAGAUAAACCCUGACAGAAAAUAAUCAAUUUGAAUUUAAAAAAAUGUGUAAUGCAUUCGUUAAUGUGAAAACAGACAAUGCUCUGUUGAGUAAUUUCAAGGUGAAUUGCCUUUUAAUGGGGUGGGGGUUGAGGGGAACUUUUUAAACUCUUUCAGCUGUGACCUACAGUAUGAAACACAUUUUGUACUGCAUCCCAGUACACAGGCAGAUGAAUGUAAAACUGAUUUAAUGAAACACUUCCCUUUGCUACUUGUGAGGCACUCUAAAAAUUAUUUUAUUCCAUUUUGAAACCACUAUCCAAAAUUCACUAAAGUGAUUUUGUUACCCCCUGAUGAGUCACUAUUCGCAAUUACUUCAAGAGAAUAAUCCAUUUGACUGCCUCCUUCCAGUUAUUUUUUUUCCUAUUUCUUGAGAUAAAAAGCCUCCACAACCACAUCUCAUGAACUACUCAAAGCUAGAAAUCAAAGGACUCAAGGUCAUGACCAAAGAGGAAUACUCAAAAAUGACAGAAAUUAUAGUAUUAUCUUAAGCAUAAAUACAGACAACCACGUGGCAUGGGAUCCGAUGAAAUAAGAAUAAAGGUUCAGGAAACAGUCUCUUUUGCCCAUCUCACCAGCCAUGAUGACCAGUGUUUUAAGAGAAAAACAACACAGUCAACAGCCAGAAGGUUAGAUUGAUCUUGUUUGGCUGUUUAAAUUUGUUUCCUUACCACCUGAAAACCCAAACCUCUAGUCAGCCAAAAUAGUUCAGUAAGUGUUAUUGGCUAUGAUUCUAACUUUUCCUCAAGGCCAGGGGCAGCAAAGAAUCUGGGGCUCCAUCCCACAUAAAGAGAACAAAGAUCUUGAGUUCCGUUGGUGAGAAUCUAGCAGCAGUAGGACCCAUCUGCUGGUUUCUCACCUCCUUCGAACUGCCAGUGAUGGUAUCAUCCUGAGGGUGCACAACCCCCCACCACAGACAGCCCCCAGAGGGCAAACUCCUGGCCAGCCGGGUUCCCAAUGCUGCCUCCAUCAGGAUGAUAGUGACAGGCAAUAACUGCUGAGCACAGGCUGUGUGUCUGGCACUGCGGCUAAGAGCCUUCCCAUUGCCUUCUACCAGCCCAUGUGACUGCCUGUGCUGACUGGGAGGUUUUACGGAUUAUUUACUGUCCCAAUUAUGCCCCCAGCAACAAAGAAUUUAACUUUCUAACAAACCUGUCUUCUGUCCAGUUCAGUAUGGUAGCCACUAGCUGCCCCACUCCAACCCGUGCAGCCUCUCCAAGCUUUACAUGCAUGUUGGAUUAAAGGACAAUCUUAUACUAGAAUUGGAAUGGAACUGAUACUAAUUAUGGGGCAGAUGGUGCUGGCGGGAGAAAAGCUGCAAAGAAAGAUAUGCAAAUAUGCAAUUCAAUACAGUGUGAUACGUGCCUCAACAGGCGGAAGGGCAGGAUUAAGCCCAGGUCUCAGGGAGCUGUGCCCUCAGGGAGAAAGGCUGAGAAGUGGGUCUGAAUUGUACAAGCACAGGGAUGGAAAGGACAUUCUGGAAUGAGGACCCAGUGUGGGCCAUGGCCCAGGGUGAAGAGGAAGCACAUCACACAGAGAUUUCUGGGGCGUGGAGGUGUUGCAAAGAAGUUUGGGCUUCAGCCUAAGAGGAAUCGUGGCCCAAUAAGGGGUUUUAGACAGGUCUUACAAUGCUGUAGGAAAAAAUACACAGUUGCCGGAUGAAGCAGGGGUAGAUUGGAGGGGGCGAGUAUGCAGGCCAUACAAUGGUGAUCUGAAUUAGAGUGACGGGAGUGCAUAUGCAGAAAAAGCAGGAGAUUUAAGAAAUAUGGGUACUGAAUUAACAGGACGUGGCCACUGGCUGGCUGUGGAUGUGAGGCAGUGACUGAAGAUGGCAGCAAGUUUCAGGUGCCAACAAUGGGGUAAAUGGCGACCCCAGGGGUCAGGAGGAGCCACAGGUAGAGAGAGGAGCUAGUGCAUUUUCACUUUUUCUUGAUUGCAGGAGCCAGGCCUUCCAGUCUAACCCACUGUUAUGGAGAAAUGAGCCAGAGCAUACGAGCAAAGGGGAAUGUACCUCCUGCCUUCGUGAGUAAAGGGAAAGAAACCUACAUAGGAAGCAUGAAUAUUUAUACAUUUAGUUUGAUAUUUUCCUCUUUUAUUUUUUAUGUCAUAAGUAACGUCUAUUCAUUAUCAAAAAUAUAAAAAGUACAGAGAAGCAGAAUCAGGAUGACCUAGUCAGGUGGCCCAGCAGGCACAGUGCUGCAGGCCCAUGAUGCUUUCAGAGGCCCCUGAAAAUAUUUCAAGUUCAAUUUAAAUCAGAAGGAAAACGUAAAUAGAAUAAUGAAUAUAUAAUAAUGAAUCUGGCCACGAUUAUAUUCAUCUUUAUAAUAAUGCAGUCAUAAAAUGUUAAGUUUUAAUACUGUUUUAUGAAGGAAGGGACCCACAAAGGCAAAAGUACCUAGGGCACAUGAAAGUAAUAAUAUGGCUAUAGUGUAGAUGAAGAAAGAGCAUCCAUAAAUCCCUAGCUAUAAAUCUCUACCUAUAAAUCUAUCAUAAAUAUGCAUAAAUCUACCACGCCUACAUCUGUAAGUCUCUCUCAUGUCUAUAUCUAUUAAUAAUCCAUCUAUCUUAAUACCUCCCUAUAUAUGAUCACCUCAAAUCCCACCAUCUCAGUUAGGUUUCUUCCUCUACUCCCAAUUUUUUAAUUAGUUCAAAAACUGCCUUUUAUCUGAAUCUACAUGACUGCUCAGUGAAGUGCAAAUGCUUCAGCCUUUCUAGGGGUUAAUUUGGUAAAUAAAUAAAAAGCUUUAAGAUUUCAGAUCAUUUGACACAGAACUUCUUCUAAGAAUUAAUUUACAGGAAAUAAUCACAUAGAAUUACAAGGAUGUUCAUCACAGUGCUAUUUCUCAUGAAAAAGGGAAAUGUCCUUAAAUAUCCUGCAACGAGUCUAGUCAAGUUAAUUAGAGUAGAUACACACAACGGAACACUAAGCAGACAUUAAAUAAUGAUACAAUUAUAUUUUUGUUAUCGUGGAUAGUUACAAUAUAUUAAAUAACAGAAUAUUUAAAAAUACAUACCUUAAUCCUGUUUUAAUGCCCAAAAAGUGUAGAAAAGUACAUAUGAAUCCCUCUUGGUUGCACAGUAAUAGAUAAUUAUUGGUUCUGCUUCUCUGCAUGUUUAAAUUGUUUUAGCAUUGAGCAUAUAUUACCCGUGAAUUUUAAAAUACUAAAAGUAUGCACUAUCUAAUUCAGAAUCUGUUGGAAGACACUUGGCUAAGGAAAUUAUUAAGAUGUGUGUAAAGACAGAGAUACAGGUCUCCUUCUUCAUCAAAUUUUCCCUCUCUACCAAAUCUUCCCCAAGAGCAUAUAAACAUGCUGUUAUUUCUCCCACCAAUAAAAAAAAUCUCACUUGACUAUAACUUCCCUUCCAGCUUCCACCUUAUUUUCUGUAUCACUGUGAAGCAAAGCCCCUUUAAAUGGUCAUCUAUAUCAGUACCUCUCAAACUAUCUGCAGUGAAAACCAGUUUGUUUUCAAUGUCUAACUUGUUGAUUAGAAACAGACCCUCCUGAAAAAGUAUAAUGAAAAUUAACCACUAGAAAAAUGAUCAUGGGCUUGAAGGCUGUGGUGACGUCAAAUGGUGCAAAAGUUUCUAAAAGCCUCCUCUUCACUAACUCCUCACAGCCAUCAGCAGCCCACACUGAGCAACACGCAUCUCUACUGAUUGUCCCAUUGCCUCUGCCCCUGCUUGCUCUUAACCCAUCUAGUUGGGCUCUCUCCUCCCCCACUCCAGUGAAAUCACUCUUGUUCAGGUCACCCUGACCUCCACCUUACUAAAAAUCAAUGAUCAGAUCUCAGUCCUCAUUUAACCCCAUCACCUGCAAUCUCUCCUUCACCUUGAAUUGAACUUUCUCUUGAGUUUCUUCCUAUGCCCCUGGAGCCCCACUCAAUUCCUUCCCCAGCCUCCUCUUCUCCCAAGCCUCUAAAUCUUGGGGUGCUCUAGGGAUCAAUUCUAGGGCCUCUUCGAUUCUUUCAUUCAGUCUCAUAGCUUUAAAUAUUAUCUACAUACUGUUGAUGCUCAAAGUUAAAUCUCCAAUUCAAAACCAUCCCCUAAACUCCAGACACAUAUAUCCAAUUAUGAAAUCAACAUCUCUAAUUAGAUGUCUAAACAGCAUCUCAAAAUUAACACAAACGAAACAGAACUCCUAAUCUUCUAUGCCCCCCAUCAAUUUCAGUGAUGACUCCCUGCUUCUAGUCAUCCAUCCUUCACUCCUCUUAUUCCCCACUCCACAUCCAAUCAGCCAGGAAAAUCCUGUUGGCUCUACCUUUAACAUAAAUCCUGAAUCCAACCUUUUUACAAUACCACCACUGCUAACACUCUGGUUCAGGACACCAUCAUCUCUCAACUUGCUUAUUGUAGUGGGGUAUAUUAACUUGCUCUCCCACAGUCUAAUCUCAAUAGAUGAGCCACACAAUUCUUUGAAAUUAUAAAUCAUAUAAUGUCACAUGUAUGCUCAAUCUGCCCAACAGCUUCUCUUUCUAUGUAGACCAAAAGCCAAAUUGGUUACAAGGGCCUACAAGCACCUGAAGAAUCUCUCACCCACUAUCCCACUUUUAUUUUUUUUUUUUUUUUGAGACAGAGUCUUGCUGUGUCACCCAGGCUGGAGUGCAGUGGCAUGAUCUCGGUUCACUGCAAUCUCUGCUUCCUGAGUUCAAGCGAUUCUCCCGCCUCAGUGUCCCAAGUAGCUGGGACUACAGGCGCCUGCCACCACGCCUGGCUAAUUUUUUUUUUUUUAAUUUUUAGUAGAGACAGGGUUUCACUAUGCUGGCCAGGCUGGUCUUGAACUUCUGACCUCGUGAUCCACCUUCCUCACCUUCUCAAAGUGCUGGAAUUGCAGGUGUGAGCCACUGUGCCUGGCCACCCUCUACCCCACUCUUAUACUAUCUUCCCCUGGUUCUCUCUGCUUCAGCCCCACUGGCCUCUGUGUUGUUACUUUCUCAUGGCAAACACCCAUGCCUCAGGGUCUUCACAUUGGCUGCUCCCUCUUUCUGGAAAACUCUUUUCCAGACACUAUCUUCCUCACUUCCUCACUUCAUUCAUAAUUUUGAUCAAUGUCACCUUCUCAAUGAGGCAAUCUCAUGAGUCCUCCCUUUUCUGCUGCAUUUUUCUCCAUUUUUCACCAUAUGACAUACUUCUUUAUCUGUUUAUUAUCUUUCUCCAACUAAAAUAUAUGCUCUUUAAGGGAAUGGAGAGUAGUCAGAUUAUUUCACUGCUAUAGCCCCAGUGCUAACAUGUUAAGUGUAUUAACUGAGCAAAUGUUCAUCCCGGUGCUCUUUAUAAGAAAAAAAAUUUGCAAACAAUAUAAAUACCUGUCAAUGGGAGACAUACUUUCAUAAAAUGAAAUACUAUUUAUAUCCAUAUCCACAAAAUGACCCUAUCUAUAAAAUGGAAUACUAUGCAAUUAUUAAAAGCUUGAAUGAAAUACAAAUGAACAUAUUUUCUGAAAGAUGUCUCUAACACAUUAAGUGAAAAGAAUCAGGAUAUAAAGUAAUACGCAUAUUAGUUCAUUUUUAUAAUAAAAUCACAUAGGAGAAUUUGGUACAGUAUAUGUGAUAUGGUUCGUCUGUGUCCCCACCCAAAUCUCAUCUUGAAUUUUAGCUUCCAUAAUUCCCAAGUGUUGUGGGAGGGACCCAGUGGGAGAUAAAUGAAUCAUGGGAGCAAUUUCCUCCUUACUGUUCUCAUGGUAGUGAAUAAGUAAGUCUCACGAGACAAGGGGAAACCCCUUUCACUUGGCUGUCAUUCCCUCUUGGCCUGCUGCCAUGUAAGACGUGCCUUUUGCCUUGGGCCAUGAUUAUGAGGUCUCCCCAGACAGGUGGAACUGUGAGUCCAUUAAACCUCUUUUUCUUUAUAAAUUACCCAGUCUCAGCUAUGUCUUUAUCAGCAGCAUGAAAAUGGACUAAUACGAUGUGCAUUAAGGUAAACUCUUAUCUAAAACAAAAACAAAACAAAUGAUGAAAACAAUGAGCCCUGUGAGGCCUUACAUUUGAAGUUUCUUCUGAUGAUGGUAAUGACACAGAAAAGCAGCAGGAUGAAUUCUCACUCAGGCAAGUCGAUGGGAAAAUAAGUGAGUGCAUUUUGGUAGGAUUCUUAUGGACUCUGGUAAAAAGCAAUUUCUCAAACAAUUAAAUUGCCAAUAAAAGACAAAGAAACAUGAGAGCUAUGCUUCUUGGGGAUAGGUAUGACUUGCAGAAAUGUUAAUAGCAUUUGCAUUUAGGUUCAUUUCUUCCUCCAUGUGUCAGGUUUAUUCAAACACUGCUGUUUCCACCUAAAGAUGGGCCAGCCCCCAAAAGCUGCACUGGCAUUAUAACGGAGUGGCCACCAAACCUAGCCCAGAGGAUGCUUACAUGGGAAAAUAGAGGGGGAGAAAUAAUGAAAAUAGAGGGAUUUUUUUUUUUUUUUACCACUUCCUAUAUCUGUUCUGGCAAAAUUAAUGUUUAAUUCCUCUCAAAAGAUUCUGAUGGUUGAUACUUCAAAGGAGAAAAAUAUGCAGAAUGAGAAAAGCAUAUUUCACAGCCAGGUACGGUGGUUCAUGUCUGUAAUCCCAGCACUUUGGGAGGCCAGAGCAGUUGGCUUGCUUGAGUCCAGGAGUUCGAGACCAGCCUGGGUAACAUGGUGAAACCCUGUCUCUACCAAAAAAAAAAAAAAAAAAAAAAUACAAAAAUUAGCUGGGUGUGGUGGCAUGUGUCUGUGGUUCCAGCUACUUGGGAGGCUGAUAUGGGAGGAUCAUUUGAACCUAGGAAGCAGAGGUUGCAGUGAGCUGUAACUGCAUUACUGCACUCCAGCCCGGGUGACCCUGUCUCAAACAAACAAACAAACAAACAGAAAAGCCCAUUUUGCUUAAUUCUCUGUCCAAAAGCUGAGAGUCGUCAUACCUGCAUGGGAGAGGUAAGUCCUUUGAUCCAUGCUUUGAGGUUGCCUAUUCCCCAGGAGCCCUUUAUAACAAGGCCUGUGGGCACUUCCAUAAUUCUCUUGUACAAAACGGAAUAGCCAAUUCAGGUUAUACAUAUGUCACUCAAGAACAGGUGACAACAAAGUUCAAGUAUAACUAAUGUAGUGGUUACAGUCAGCAUAUUGGUUACAUAACAAGGAGUACCAUAGUAGCUUUAGAGCUGGUGGCCACCUGGACAUCCCAGCAUUUCCCCGCCUAGGAACAUGAGGACCAUACAGGAGACGCUUGUCUAGAGCUGCUUGGUAGUGGAGCCAGAACUAGAAUCCAGGUCUUCUAAUGCUUAAUCUCUCUCAGGCACUGUGAGUGGCUCUUGCCACCCCAGAGUAAUAUCCACUUAGCCAUGAUCUGAAUUCCCAGGGAAGGGUAGGUCCAAACUUGGGAGGGGGCCAUUGGGCCGCCUAGGAAUCAACUGCAGAGUCUAUUAAGCUUGCUGAUUUCUGGAUUCCCCUGCAGGAAUUUGCAUUUCACAGAAGCUCCCUGAAGUGAAUCUGAUACACAGCCAAGUCAGGAAUCACUGGACUAAGUUAUACAAGACAGAAGAGCAAAGAAACCAGCAGAUUUCCAUUUUAAAAAAUGCAAGUCAUUCUCCUUACUCACUCUAUAAAAAAAAAAAACACGGAAAUAUGUAAUUAUAAAGCUCAAAAUAGCUUCUUCACGGAAAAAAAUGUGAUUCACACUUCUAAAGAUGCUCAGGCCACAGCUGCAAUCUGUUCUUGUGGCCAAAACCCUUGGGAAGCCAAAUUAAGGGAAGCCACAUUGGGCUUGUUUGCUGGGAUCUAAAACUGUGUCCUGCUCCUGUCCUGCUCCCUGCAGACAGGCCAGAAAGCCCUCUCUGGGAGGAAGAGAGCGAGCUCACUCCAGAGAGAGGUAGCCAGAAGACCUACCAGCUGGAGCUGCCCCUGAUAGCCUGGCUUCCUACAGCCACCAUCUGAGGGGACCUGGCUCCCAUCAAGUCCUGGUGGAUAGGUGCACCUGCUGAGGUGGAGGCAUCUUUGGAGAAGUGCUGUUUACUGGCCUCUCGGAGUCCUCACUGGAGUCCUGCCUAGAACAGAGAUUGAACUCUGUGCUGGUUAAAGUCGAACCCAUUUCCCAUAGAGCGGGAGUGGGUAGAAAAAAAGCAGCAAGCUGAGAGCUGUCUGGAGGCAGUUGGGGAUAUAAUAAAUUAGGAAGUCACACAGCUGUGUGUUCUGAAACACAAGAUUGAAAAUAGAUCAUUUUUUUCCCUCUUGGGGGAACAUACUGUAGUGUUGAUAUUUUCUAAUUCAAAUUUGGACUCAGUGGGCCUUCUCAACCAAAUUACCCUGAGGAGGGGGGGAGGGAGAGGGAUGAAGAGGAGCCCUUUAGUAUAACUCAUUCUCACUUAUUUUAGAAGAAAACAAGAAUGUUGUUUGAGAGGUUUCAGGGUAAAAUGCAAAGUUUAUUAAAAAUUUAGCAAUGUCUGAAGAAUAUUUUUGGAACUGACCCUGAAGCAAACAGAAAGCUACUCUAUUCAUGCAACAAACGCUUAUUAAAUGCAGACUACAUGUAAAACACUGGGCUAGAAGUUAAAAUGGAAGAUGAAUUCACUAUGAGUCUAGUCCUCAAAGGGCUUACAGUCUGUAAGGAAGACAAGAUAUUUACAAAGAAAGUGAAAGCAAUGGGUGAUAGCAUUGCACCAUAGUUAAGGGCAAACAGCACAGGAGAAUCUCACAAUAAUUCACUCCAUCUAAUACCUGCACCAUCUCAGUCUACUCAACCUCUACCUUCAUCUCAGGUUCCUUAUUUGUAAAUGGAGAUGUUGCAGGGGUUAACAGAGGUAACGUGCUUAUUAUUGACUCUGGGAAUUCUCUGUUACAUAGAAGGCAUCCAAUAAACGGCAGUGGUCUCCCUCUUUUUAAAAAAGCAAAUUCCUUUUUUUUUUUUUUUUUUUGAGAUGGAAUCUCACUCUGUUGUCCAGGCUGGGGUGCAGUGGCAUGAUGUUGGCUCACUCCAAUCUCUGCCUUCCGAGUUCAGGCGAUUCUCCAGCCUCAGCCUCCCAGGUAGUUGGGAUUACAGGCUCCCACCAGCAUACCUGGCUAAUUUUUGUAUUUUAGUAGAGACGAGGGUUUCACUAUUUGGCCAGGCUGGUUUCAAACUCCUGACCUCAUGUAAUCUGCCCGCCUCAGCCUCCCAAAGUGGUUGGAUUACAGGUGUGAGCCAUCGUGCCCAGCCAAAAUCAGCAAGUGGUUUUUGAUUGAAGUUCAAGUGCCCAAGGCUGGGAGACCUGAUUGGCAUCGACCUUCUAAUCUACUCAACCACCAGGUAAAUCUUUACAACCAAAGGCUCCAGGUUAAGGAUGAGAAAUAAAAGCAUUCUAGAGCUUUCUGUCCUCAGCUGCUCCCCUAACCACUGCAGACUCCCUGAGAGAAAAACUGACACUAUAGGAAGCCACAGUGUCUGCAAAAAGUGUGUUAACGACUUUAGCUGUGGGUAUGCUUCUGUUUUGUUUUUUUAUUUUUUUUCCAUUUGUUUGUUUCACUCAUGCAUAUUUUGGUUUUGAAAACUUUACAGUUAGCAUUUCGUCAUCUUUUCAGUGCAGUCUGACAUCCUGAUUUCUGUUGUUUUACUUUAUUUUAGUGAGGUUAGUUUAUUUUACCAUCUAUUAGAAUCUUCUAGCAUUCUGCUUAUACUUUCCCUCCAAUUUCAUGCUGCCUUCCAUACUAAUAUUCUACUCUUACAACUUAUGAGGACUUUGAAGGGUAUGGCCUGGUACAUCACGAUCCUACAAGAAAUGCUGAUGACGGUGAUUACUGCUUCAGAAAAAAAAAUAACCCUUGGGUCCAAGCUUGAGAUUUAGAAGAGACUGGCAUCUCUGGAACUAGGGAAAGAUGGUUUUUGCACUUUACACCUUUGGAAUGAGACUAGUCACUUUGAUACUCAUUUUACUGAUGAGACGUGAUGAAGCCAUCCUGCAAAUGGCCUCCGUCAUUGAUUGGAAUCCUGUUACAUUUGUGAUUUUGUUUUAUGAUGUUUCUCCUGCUAUAAGAUGCUUGUAUCCUGAAUUUAAACUUCCUCAUGUAUAUAACCACCGGUAUUUUAGGAAAACGGCAUCCACUAGCAUUGGAAAAGACCAGAAGGGAAGGUGGAUGUAAGUUUCAUCCAAAGAAGGUCCCUGACAGCAACACCGUUGACCUGCUUUGGGAAGAACUAGGUGGUAGUGAGUCUCUCUCAAAUCUCUAAGGGCAAGCAGAGGUGCUCAGCCAGGCUCCGGACACCAUUUCCAGAUGGAGCCUCACUCUGUGGCAGCAGAGUCCCUUCCUCCUCCACAGCCCUCCCGGGCAAGCCUCCUGCCAGGCAGGGCUCCAGCACCUUUUGCUCUUUCAGACACAAGAGGCCAGAGUUAGAACUGAUUUAAAAUACUUCUAUUUUGAAUUUUUCUUCAAGUUAUGUUUUUUAAAACAAUUUUUUUUGGCUAAAACAUUUUUGUAACAAUACAUGACUGUGUGUGUGUGUGAAGAGAAGGAGAGAAAAAGAGGGUGAAUGAUAAAACAUAUGUGGCAAAAUGUUGACGUAACUAUAGAUGAACCUGAGUGAAUGAGUUAUUUUGGCCGGGUGCAGUGGCUCACACCUGUAAUCCCAGCACUUUGGGAGGCUGAGGCGGGUGGAUCACUUGAGGUCAGGAAUUCGAGACCAGCCUGGCCAGCAUGGCAAAAACCCAUCUCUACUAAAUAUAUAAAAAUUAGCCCAGUGUAGUGGUGCAUUCCUGUAAUCCCAGGUACUCAGGAGGCUGAGGCAAGAGAAUUGUUUGAACCCAGGAGGCGGAGGUUGCAGUGAGACAAGAUCGCACCACUGCACUCCAGCCUGGGCAACAGAGUGAGAUCCUGUCUCCAAAAAAAAGAAGGAAAUCUUCUAACUUUCUUGCCAAAAAAAAAAAGUUUUAAAAAUAUAUUUUUAUUUACAUUAUUUUUCUAUGGCUAUUCUUUAUAUCAAUUCUCCCUUACCAAUUCUCAUACCCUUAUUCUUUCAAAUAAAGUCUAGAGUCAUUCUGUGAAGUUUCCACCCUAAUUCCCAGUGGUAAUUUGGAAUGUGAUAUGAGCCUGUCCACUAAUGUAGAGGAACUUGCAUCUUUUUCACAUUGUUUUCUAACCAGGAAGAAAACAUUUUGCUUCUCUAUUUAUUUGAAAUGUCUAUUGUAUAUUUUGGUAAAGUCUUACAGUUUUCUUCACCUAAGUUUCCAAGAUGUUUUCCAUUGGGAUUAUUCCAAAGUAGUUUACAUUUUCAUUGCUACUGUUAAAUAAUCUUUUUUUCCAUUUUAUAAUUAUUGCUGACAUAUGGAACAUCUACUAAGUUUUGUUUAUUCACUAUGUAGCUACUCUUCUAAACCACAUUAGCUUAUCCUUUGCUCCUUCAGGGAUAGAAAGUCUUAUUACCUACAGUUUAAAAUAUUUGUUUCUAUCGAUGAACUCUACCUCUAAUGUGUUUGUAAGUUUUCCAGAUCAAGGAGAAAUAGUAAUGGUGAAUAAUAUCAGCAUCAUACAGCAUCCCAGUUUAGUCUCAGUUUUUGAUGGGAAAGCUGUUUUGGUAUCUUCAUUUUAAGAAUGAUGCUAGCUUGUCACUUUCUGGCAGAUUUUUUUUUUUAAUGAUAAGAAUGUGUCCUAGUCCAUCAUCUUUAACAAA